GACGAACGCUGGCGGCGUGCCUAAUACAUGCAAGUAGAACGCUGAAGCGAGGAGCUUGCUCUUCUUGGAUGAGUUGCGAACGGGUGAGUAACGCGUAGGUAACCUGCCUUGUAGCGGGGGAUAACUAUUGGAAACGAUAGCUAAUACCGCAUAACAAUGGAUGACCCAUGUCAUUUAUUUGAAAGGGGCAAAUGCUCCACUACAAGAUGGACCUGCGUUGUAUUAGCUAGUAGGUGAGGUAACGGCUCACCUAGGCGACGAUACAUAGCCGACCUGAGAGGGGGAGCGGCCACACUGGGACUGAGACCCGGCCCAGACUCCUACGGGAGGCAGCAGUAGGGAAUCUUCGGCAAUGGGGGCAACCCUGACCGAGCAACGCCGCGUGAGUGAAGAAGGUUUUCGGAUCGUAAAGCUCUGUUGUAAGUCAAGAACGAGUGUGAGAGUGGAAAGUUCACACUGUGACGGUAGCUUACCAGAAAGGGACGGCUAACUACGUG
This 497-nucleotide ribosomal RNA is filed under the name uncultured bacterium. RNAcentral's name for it is "partial 16S ribosomal RNA". It matches the Rfam family "Bacterial small subunit ribosomal RNA", at positions 28 to 507 of the family's 1533-position model. The record is from RNAcentral.